CUGUGAACCUAAAACUGCUCUGAAAAAGCCUAUUCAAAGAUUUUUUUUUUUUUUUUUAAAGCAGGGGAACAUUUGCUAUAUUAAGAUCACACGUGUGUCUCCAGACCUAGUUCUUUCUCUAGGUCUGGUUUUAUAAAGACUGGUGGUAAAC
This 151-nucleotide small nucleolar RNA is filed under the name Ursus maritimus (polar bear). Its description in RNAcentral is "Small nucleolar RNA SNORA72 (ENSUMAG00000007016.1)". The stretch from base 32 to 151 matches the Rfam family "Small nucleolar RNA SNORA72". From Rfam's summary of the family: U72 is a member of the H/ACA class of snoRNAs. The snoRNA gene is located in intron 4 of the ribosomal L30 protein gene in human, mouse and chicken. The record is from RNAcentral. Lineage: Eukaryota; Metazoa; Chordata; Mammalia; Carnivora; Ursidae.